Molecule: ribosomal RNA, 464 nt
Filed under: uncultured bacterium
Lineage: Bacteria
Description: partial 16S ribosomal RNA
Rfam family: Bacterial small subunit ribosomal RNA
Source: RNAcentral
CUACGGGAGGCAGCAGUGGGGAAUAUUGCACAAUGGGCGCAAGCCUGAUGCAGCCAUGCCGCGUGUAUGAAGAAGGCCUUCGGGUUGUAAAGUACUUUCAGCGGGGAGGAAGGGAGUAAAGUUAAUACCUUUGCUCACUGACGUUACCCGCAGAAGAAGCACCGGCUAACUCCGUGCCAGCAGCCGCGGUAAUACGGAGGGUGCAAGCGUUAAUCGGAAUUACUGGGCGUAAAGCGCACGCAGGCGGUUUGUUAAGUCAGAUGUGAAAUCCCCGGGCUCAACCUGGGAACUGCAUCUGAUACUGGCAAGUUUGAGUCUCGUAGAGGGGGGUAGAAUUCCAGGUGUAGCGGUGAAAUGCGUAGAGAUCUGGAGGAAUACCGGUGGCGAAGGCGGCCCCCUGGACGAAGACUGACGCUCAGGUGCGAAAGCGUGGGGAGCAAACAGGAUUAGAUACCCCAGUAGUC